AUUGAACGCUGGCGGCAGGCUUAACACAUGCAAGUCGAGCGGGGUGAUGGUGCUUGCACUAUCACUUAGCGGCGGACGGGUGAGUAAUGCUUAGGAAUCUGCCUAUUAGUGGGGGACAACAUCUCGAAAGGGAUGCUAAUACCGCAUACGUCCUACGGGAGAAAGCAGGGGAUCACUUGUGACCUUGCGCUAAUAGAUGAGCCUAAGUCGGAUUAGCUAGUUGGUGGGGUAAAGGCCUACCAUGGCGACGAUCUGUAGCGGGUCUGAGAGGAUAAUCCGGCAAAAUGGGACUGAGACACGGCCCAGACUCCUACGGGAGGCAGCAGUGGGGAAUAUUGGACAAUGGGGGGAACCCUGAUCCAGCCAUGCCGCGUGUGUGAAGAAGGCCUUAUGGUUGUAAAGCACUUUAAGCGAGGAGGAGGCUCUUUUGGUUAAUACCCAGAAUGAGUGGACGUUACUCGCAGAAUAAGCACCGGCUAACUCUGUGCCAGCCGCCGCGGUAA
This 503-nucleotide ribosomal RNA is filed under the name uncultured bacterium. RNAcentral describes it as "partial 16S ribosomal RNA". It matches the Rfam family "Bacterial small subunit ribosomal RNA", at positions 30 to 523 of the family's 1533-position model. The record is from RNAcentral.